GGGUUGUGAGGUUAAGCGACUAAGCGUACACGGUGGAUGCCCUGGCAGUCAGAGGCGAUGAAGGGCGUGCUAAUCUGCGAUAAGCGCCGGUAAGGUGAUAUGAACCGUUAUAACCGGCGAUACCCGAAUGGGGAAACCCAGUGUGAUUCGUCACACUAUCAUUAACUGAAUCCAUAGGUUAAUGAGGCGAACCGGGGGAACUGAAACAUCUAAGUACCCCGAGGAAAAGAAAUCAACCGAGAUUCCCCCAGUAGCGGCGAGCGAACGGGGAGGAGCCCAGAGCCUGAAUCAGCAUGUGUGUUAGUGGAAGCGUCUGGAAAGGCGCGCGAUACAGGGUGACAGCCCCGUACACAAAAGCGCAUGUGCUGUGAGCUCGAUGAGUAGGGCGGGACACGUGGUAUCCUGUCUGAAUAUGGGGGGACCAUCCUCCAAGGCUAAAUACUCCUGACUGACCGAUAGUGAACCAGUACCGUGAGGGAAAGGCGAAAAGAACCCCGGCGAGGGGAGUGAAAAAGAACCUGAAACCGUGUACGUACAAGCAGUGGGAGCCCCACCACUAAGCCAGUGGUGAACUCCACAUACGCAUCCUUUGCUGAGGAUACGGUUAACGGAGCGAAAGCGACGUUCAACCGCAAAACAAGCAGAGGGGGCUUAGUGGUGGGGUGACUGCGUACCUUUUGUAUAAUGGGUCAGCGACUUAUAUUCUGUAGCAAGGUUAACCGAAUAGGGGAGCCGUAGGGAAACCGAGUCUUAACCGGGCGUUAAGUUGCAGGGUAUAGACCCGAAACCCGGUGAUCUAGCCAUGGGCAGGUUGAAGGUUGGGUAACACUAACUGGAGGACCGAACCGACUAAUGUUGAAAAAUUAGCGGAUGACCUGUGGCUGGGGGUGAAAGGCCAAUCAAACCGGGAGAUAGCUGGUUCUCCCCGAAAGCUAUUUAGGUAGCGCCUCGUGAAUUCAUCUCCGGGGGUAGAGCACUGUUUCGGCUAGGGGGCCAUCCCGGCUUACCAACCCGAUGCAAACUGCGAAUACCGGAGAAUGUUAUCACGGGAGACACACGGCGGGUGCUAACGUCCGUCGUGAAGAGGGAAACAACCCAGACCGCCAGCUAAGGUCCCAAAGUCAUGGUUAAGUGGGAAACGAUGUGGGAAGGCCCAGACAGCCAGGAUGUUGGCUUAGAAGCAGCCAUCAUUUAAAGAAAGCGUAAUAGCUCACUGGUCGAGUCGGCCUGCGCGGAAGAUGUAACGGGGCUAAACCAUGCACCGAAGCUGCGGCAGCGAACGUAUCACUUAAAGCGAUUCAGCGGGUUACGAUUGACGGAGCGAAGCGACGUCAAAGCGUAUACAAAGUCGAGUCGGUUUAAGGAUACGUUCGUUGGGUAGGGGAGCGUUCUGUAAGCCUGCGAAGGUGGCCUGUGAGGGUUGCUGGAGGUAUCAGAAGUGCGAAUGCUGACAUAAGUAACGAUAAAGCGGGUGAAAAGCCCGCUCGCCGGAAGACCAAGGGUUCCUGUCCAACGUUAAUCGGGGCAGGGUGAGUCGACCCCUAAGGCGAGGCCGAAAGGCGUAGUCGAUGGGAAACGGGUUAAUAUUCCCGUACUUGGUGUUACUGCGAAGGGGGGACGGAGAAGGCUAUGUUGGCCGGGCGACGGUUGUCCCGGUUUAAGCGUGUAGGUGUGUGUUCCAGGUAAAUCCGGUUCACUUUAACACUGAGGCGUGACGACGAGGCACUACGGUGCUGAAGCAACAAAUGCCCUGCUUCCAGGAAAAGCCUCUAAGCAUCAGGUAACAUCAAAUCGUACCCCAAACCGACACAGGUGGUCAGGUAGAGAAUACCAAGGCGCUUGAGAGAACUCGGGUGAAGGAACUAGGCAAAAUGGUGCCGUAACUUCGGGAGAAGGCACGCUGAUAUGUAGGUGAAGCGGUUUACCCGUGGAGCUGAAAUCAGUCGAAGAUACCAGCUGGCUGCAACUGUUUAUUAAAAACACAGCACUGUGCAAACACGAAAGUGGACGUAUACGGUGUGACGCCUGCCCGGUGCCGGAAGGUUAAUUGAUGGGGUCAGCGCAAGCGAAGCUCCUGAUCGAAGCCCCGGUAAACGGCGGCCGUAACUAUAACGGUCCUAAGGUAGCGAAAUUCCUUGUCGGGUAAGUUCCGACCUGCACGAAUGGCGUAAUGAUGGCCAGGCUGUCUCCACCCGAGACUCAGUGAAAUUGAACUCGCUGUGAAGAUGCAGUGUACCCGCGGCAAGACGGAAAGACCCCGUGAACCUUUACUAUAGCUUGACACUGAACAUUGAGCCUUGAUGUGUAGGAUAGGUGGGAGGCUUUGAAGUGUGGACGCCAGUCUGCAUGGAGCCGACCUUGAAAUACCACCCUUUAAUGUUUGAUGUUCUAACGUGGACCCGUAAUCCGGGUUGCGGACAGUGUCUGGUGGGUAGUUUGACUGGGGCGGUCUCCUCCUAAAGAGUAACGGAGGAGCACGAAGGUUGGCUAAUCCUGGUCGGACAUCAGGAGGUUAGUGCAAUGGCAUAAGCCAGCUUGACUGCGAGCGUGACGGCGCGAGCAGGUGCGAAAGCAGGUCAUAGUGAUCCGGUGGUUCUGAAUGGAAGGGCCAUCGCUCAACGGAUAAAAGGUACUCCGGGGAUAACAGGCUGAUACCGCCCAAGAGUUCAUAUCGACGGCGGUGUUUGGCACCUCGAUGUCGGCUCAUCACAUCUGGGGCUGAAGUAGGUCCCAAGGGUAUGGCUGUUCGCCAUUUAAAGUGGUACGCGAGCUGGGUUUAGAACGUCGUGAGACAGUUCGGUCCCUAUCUGCCGUGGGCGCUGGAGAACUGAGGGGGGCUGCUCCUAGUACGAGAGGACCGGAGUGGACGCAUCACUGGUGUUCGGGUUGUCAUGCCAAUGGCACUGCCCGGUAGCUAAAUGCGGAAGAGAUAAGUGCUGAAAGCAUCUAAGCACGAAACUUGCCCCGAGAUGAGUUCUCCCUGAGACUUAGAGUCUCCUGAAGGAACGUUGAAGACGACGACGUUGAUAGGCCGGGUGUGUAAGCGCAGCGAUGCGUUGAGCUAACCGGUACUAAUGAACCGUGAGGCUUAACCUUACAACGCCGAAG
Molecule: ribosomal RNA, 3108 nt
Filed under: Salmonella enterica subsp. enterica serovar Anatum
Lineage: Bacteria; Pseudomonadati; Pseudomonadota; Gammaproteobacteria; Enterobacterales; Enterobacteriaceae
Description: bacterial LSU rRNA
Rfam family: Bacterial large subunit ribosomal RNA
Source: RNAcentral